This is an RNA transcript of Neocloeon triangulifer, 2613 nucleotides long. It is a transcript of the gene named serine/threonine-protein phosphatase 2A regulatory subunit B'' subunit gamma-like, with no coding region annotated. The record is from RefSeq and is a predicted model, not a curated record. Lineage: Eukaryota; Metazoa; Arthropoda; Insecta; Ephemeroptera; Baetidae. The transcript has 10 exons.
GUACUAACUGGGAAAGUUGUGACGUAGUUACCGUACGUCACUGUGACCACCGCGAUCAGCCAAUAAGAUUAUCGGAACAGCUCGUGCUCAAGAACCAGUAGCCAAUCGGAGAUGUGACAUUAAAUUUGACAGUGGACGCGGGAACAUGCUGUUUUUAUGUUGGCCAGCCUGAGAGACGCAUGUAAACAAACCUAAAAACAACAAUUUUUUCGAUUUUAUUUCUGCCAUCGGAGAGAGAAAGAGAGAUUAUUGUUUUCUAAGUUUAUGGUUCAAAAUCAUGGAUUUGAAAGAAAUUUUGAAGUUAAACCUGCGGCGUUUGAGGAAGAAAAAGGAGCUUUUGGGACAAGAAAACACAUCAUUCAUCAAACAUGAAAACAAGCUUUUUCUUGAAUUGAUGGAGAGCAGCAAAUCACCCGCUGAUCCAACUCUGCAAGCAAUUCCUCAGUUUUAUUUCAAGUUGCCUCAGGAUGAUUCGUCUUUGAUUGCUCAGAAAUUGAGAGAGGAAUCGCGAGCAAUGUUUUUGCAGAGAAAAAGCCGUCAGUUGCUUGAUAACAAUGAAUUAAAAGCACUGUGGGUACUUUUAGACAAACACCAUACUCCUCCAUUAUCAGGAGAUGAGCAAAUGAUUAAUUACCAAGACUUCCUCAAAGUUGCUGACUUGGCAGGACCUAAGAGCAGGGCGUACUUUAAACCAUCUGUAUUCGCCAAGCUGCAGACCAAAGAUCCAUUCGGGCGAGUCUCAAUCAUGGCCCUGUUUAAUUAUGUUAUGAGAAAAGUUUGGCUUCAGCAAACCAGAAUAGGUCUCUCCUUGUAUGAUGUCACUGGCCAGGGAUACCUUCGAGAAUCAGACCUCGAAAACUACAUUUUGGAGCUGCUUCCAACCUUGCCACAAUUGGAUGGCCUGGAGAAAUCAUUUCAUUCAUUUUAUGUUUGCACUGCUGUUCGAAAAUUUUUCUUCUUCUUGGAUCCUCUUCGAACUGGAAGGAUUCGGAUACAAGAUGUACUUGCCUGUUCAUUUCUUGAUGACCUGCUUGAACUCCGAGACGAGGACCUGCCUAAAGACCUGCAGGACGCAAAUUGGUUUUCCGCACCUUCAGCUUUGAGGGUUUACGGACAGUAUCUUAAUCUAGACAGAGAUCACAAUGGAAUGCUUAGUCAAGAAGAACUGGGAGGCUACGGAACGGGCACUUUAACAGCAGUGUUUCUGGAGCGAGUUUUCCAAGAAUGCCUCACUUAUGAUGGUGAAAUGGACUACAAAACUUACUUGGAUUUUGUUCUCGCCCUUGAAAACAGAUCAGAACCACAAGCUUUGCACUACCUUUUCAGAAUUUUAGAUGUCCAAGGAAAAGGCCACCUUGACAUUUUCAGCCUGAACUAUUUCUUUAGGGCCAUUCAACAGCAGCUCAGAUUGCAUGGUCAAGAACCAGUUUCCUUUGAGGAUGUGAAAGAUGAAAUUUUUGACAUGGUCCGGCCUAAAAAUUGUCUGAAAAUUACUCUGCAAGACCUACUUUCAUGCGGCCAUGGAGACACCAUGAUCAGUAUUUUGACUGAUCUCAAUGGAUUUUGGACCUAUGAAAACAGAGAGGCAAUGGCAGCUGAGUCGAGUGAAACAAUCGAGGGAUGAGGGUUGACGUUGUAAAUGGAUUUCUGUGUGAAUUAAAGUUCUACAAAAUUAAAGUGCAAUCGUAGGCCCUUGCACAGGUUAAACACAGAUAGAGAUAGCCAAGAUAGGAUACCAUAGAGUCACGGUUCAGCUUUAAUUUUUAAGGUAAUUUCGUAAAAUAUCAUUUAAAAUAUAGAAACUAGAAACCAUUGGAGUUAAAAAUUUGUAGCGAGUUAUUCAUGGGAUAUGAAAAUAUUUUGCGUUCUUCAAUUUAUAUUUCCUUUUAUAUAAUAUAUUUUGAUAAAGACAAUUAAAAUUAAUGAGAUGGUAAUUAUUCAGGUACAGCGCUAUUACUAUUAUUAAAAAUAUUGUAUGAGAUCAAAUUUAAUAUUCAUGGUUAUUUAUUUGUUAAAUUUUUUAUUACCGCUCUUGUAAUCACUCUACAUGACGUAAUAUUCCUUAUAGCUUUAAUUUAGGUGAAAUUGAUUAGAGCGCUAGAUUAAAAAACAUUCUUAGCAUAAGCGAUCUCACUAUUAAUUUUCAAGGAAGUUUUAAUUUUAACUUUUGUCCUGGAUUUGCCCUUAAUGCGCGUCAAAUGAAAAUUAGUGUGGCAGGGUCUGAAUCGGGGUGCGCUGGACGGGUGAAUUUUCCAUAAAAAUUUGGGUCAGCGAGGUGCAUUUCAAGAUAUCGUGCGGUCUGCUGGAUAUUAAAGAGCUGAGUCACACCAACAUAAAAUUCGUGCGUCGGCCGAAAAACUUACAACCGGUGUAUUUAUUUUUUGUCAGUAAGAGAGCAACACGGAAAGAACUGAUGUACACGUUUUAUUCAUUAGGAGAAUCGAUGUCUUUUGUGUUUCGUUCGUAGAGGGCAAGUCAUGUGUGGGUUGAUGGCCAAGCUGAUUGAUUGGUUGUUGAGUGCUCUUGGUCUAGUUUAUGAAGCAGCAAUACAAAAAUUAAAAUAAUACAAUAAAAAUACGAUUUUUUUUUAAAUAUUUAUAGGAUAAAAAAAUA